This is a long non-coding RNA of Odontomachus brunneus, 1062 nucleotides long. RefSeq lists it as uncharacterized. Lineage: Eukaryota; Metazoa; Arthropoda; Insecta; Hymenoptera; Formicidae. The transcript has 6 exons. The record is from RefSeq and is a predicted model, not a curated record.
GCGACUCAUCCGUAACUCGCGCUACAGCGAUAACGCCGAAAAAUUUACAACGCGAAUUGACAUAAUUGUUAAUAACUCCACUUGUAGGCAUCGUGGCGACUUGAAACAAAGACCACGAGAAGCAGAAAAUUAUCGCGCUUACGGUGACUGUGAAAUCGUCUUUCUGCGGAAUAAGAAUCAAACCGCGUAAUCAUGCUCAAGUUGGAACAGAUGCAAUUCGGAAUGGACGAACUGGAGUGAGUUGUAUAUAAUUAUGAACCUGCAGCAGUUUGCGGAUGAAUAAAUGGACUUUAUACUCAAGAAACGAGGUAUUUAUGGCGUCGUGUCGAUUAUUGAAGCGCGGGCAGAGCCACUCGUUUGCGCGCGGCGCGCAAACGCGUCAGUUCGAACGAAUGCAACUUGAAACGGACGAGCGCGCAAUUCCACGCAAUUGCGAGUCUGCAGCAGUUUUCGGGUAAACGGAUGGCCUUUGUACCCAAGAAACGAGAUGUGUCUAUUCCAGUCCAUCCCCGUGUAUUAUCGGAGAAAGCAGUGCGAGGGCGAGCGUAUUUCGACGCGGAGGCGAGAAAUCGACGAGCACAAGUCCGCUGCCCCGUAUUUCAUAACUGUUCCAGCGCGGUGUUGAAGAUCUAUGGCACAGUUGUGGCCGCGCCGAGAAGGCAGCUGGAGUUCCGGUGAAUGAGGAUGCAUUACCGGAGGAUCCGGUUCGGGCGGAGAAAGGUUCGACUUGAAGAACUGUGAGCAGAACGUGGUCGACACCUUUCGGUGAGUAAGAAAAAUGGGUUUAAAAUUUGAAAGGUGAUGGGUUUUUAUAAAAAUUGUUCGACAAUACAAAUCAAUGCGAUUUACCGUAGUGACUUUUUGCAUGCCAUUAUAUUAAAUGUAUAGUUCAAAACAAUUAGGAAAUCGUUCGUUCAAGUGUUUGUGUUUCAUAUUUGGAGCACAUUGUGGAAUACUUUCCUCUUUUUCUCUUAAUAUAUCUUAUUUAUAUACUCAAUAAUCGUAUCUAUUUAAAUUUGUAAUAUUUCUAAAUAAUAGAAAGCUCCUCGAAUAGAUUAACUA